UGGGGAAUAUUGCACAAUGGGCGCAAGCCUGAUGCAGCCAUGCCGCGUGUGUGAAGAAGGCCUUCGGGUUGUAAAGCACUUUCAGCGGGGAGGAAGGCGUUAAGGUUAAUAACCUUGGCGAUUGACGUUACCCGCAGAAGAAGCACCGGCUAACUCCGUGCCAGCAGCCGCGGUAAUACGGAGGGUGCAAGCGUUAAUCGGAAUUACUGGGCGUAAAGCGCACGCAGGCGGUUUGUUAAGUCAGAUGUGAAAUCCUCGGGCUCAACCUGGGAACUGCAUCUGAUACUGGCAAGCUUGAGUCUCGUAGAGGGGGGUAGAAUUCCAGGUGUAGCGGUGAAAUGCGUAGAGAUCUGGAGGAAUACCGGUGGCGAAGGCGGCCCCCUGGACGAAGACUGACGCUCAGGUGCGAAAGCGUGGGGAGCAAACAGG
RNAcentral lists this ribosomal RNA (429 nucleotides) under Chloroflexota bacterium. RNAcentral describes it as "Chloroflexi bacterium partial 16S ribosomal RNA". It matches the Rfam family "Bacterial small subunit ribosomal RNA", at positions 355 to 776 of the family's 1533-position model. The record is from RNAcentral. Lineage: Bacteria; Bacillati; Chloroflexota.